GCGGCCGGAGCGCCUCCUCCGAGUGGUCCCCCCACCCGGCGGGGACGGCGCGCCGCCCCUCCCGGGCACCCGAACAGCCGCGCAGAGUUGAGCAGAGCCCAGUGCCCCGGGCACCGCGGGCCCAGGCGGCCACCCCCCCUCCCUCAUCCGGCCGCGCCGCCGCCCUGCCCCGGGCGGAGUAAACAAGAGACGCGCAAGAUUUGACCUGGCGCGACCCGGAUUUCUGGCCGGGGUUCCCCCUGAGCAGGUGACUCCGUGGGAGGGGUGGAAAUUAGUCUCUGGAAUUCCCGACCAAAGACAUUCACCGUGGUUCUGCUUUUAAAGCCGGUAUUUCACCGACAACUGCGGAAUGUUUUGCGUCUCAAGUUUCAGAUUUCGCGGAAAGGGACCAAAUGUCAGCGCGUAUCAAAUAUUCCCUUCCCUUUUCAUUAAAAAUGAAUACAUUAAAUGGGAGGACAGCCCCCUUAAUGACUUCGACAAUUGCACUGCUGGUUUCGGUUUUGGUUUGUUUUGUUUGUCAUUUCGACCUAUAAUCAGUGUAUUUCUGAGGUCCCCGUGCAAUGGCGACAUUGCCCUGAAGGACGACUCCGCAAAAUAAAGGGGCGAUACGUUUUUCAUCGAUAUUUUUUUCAAAGGAGAAAAAUCUGAAUGAUUUGGAAUAAAUUUCACUGUGUCCUUCCAGGUUGAUCCCAUUUAAAUUCAAGGCCUACUUCCACUAAAGCGGCUUCUCCUUUCAUUAUAAAACCUCCAGAGACAAAACCAGCAAUGGUAAACUGUGCCCUCAGCCCUAAGGGGCUCUAAGGAAAGUGAGGAUCCCUCCAGCAUAGGUGACCCAGCUUGAACCCCCAUACUUAGCAUCAGCAGUGAGGUAAGAACUUUCUUUCCAUUACUUUUCCUACUGCUUUUCCAAUUGAAAGGUAAAGAAAAUCUGGGGAUCUGGAUUGAGAGGUCUUAAUAAAAUAAUUAAUGUCCA
Long non-coding RNA from Mustela lutreola (European mink), 973 nucleotides. RefSeq lists it as uncharacterized. The record is from RefSeq and is a predicted model, not a curated record. The transcript has 2 exons. Lineage: Eukaryota; Metazoa; Chordata; Mammalia; Carnivora; Mustelidae.